UAUGUUCCUUCCAUUGAAACGUCGGAGUCAUUUGUUAGAGUGUGUAAAAGUAAUUUUGAAUAGAAUGUAUUAGUAAUGUUUGCAUUAACAAAGCUUGUAUUAGUAAUACUGGUAUUAUUUAUACUAACAUUAUUUCUUAUACACUCUUUGAUGUGCUGUAUUAGAACUUGUCUUUUCAAUCUUCAUGUAUUUAAACAAAAGUUUUUUAAAUAAA
RNAcentral lists this long non-coding RNA (214 nucleotides) under Capsicum annuum. Its description in RNAcentral is "long non-coding RNA (CANN_LNC014414)". The record is from RNAcentral. Lineage: Eukaryota; Viridiplantae; Streptophyta; Magnoliopsida; Solanales; Solanaceae.